This 96-nucleotide ribosomal RNA is filed under the name Cronobacter sakazakii. Its description in RNAcentral is "partial 16S ribosomal RNA". It matches the Rfam family "Bacterial small subunit ribosomal RNA", at positions 1447 to 1533 of the family's 1533-position model. Lineage: Bacteria; Pseudomonadati; Pseudomonadota; Gammaproteobacteria; Enterobacterales; Enterobacteriaceae. The record is from RNAcentral.
AGGGCGCUUACCACUUUGUGAUUCAUGACUGGGGUGAAGUCGUAACAAGGUAACCGUAGGGGAACCUGCGGUUGGAUCACCUCCUUACCUGAAAGA